CAGGGCUACACAAAGAAACCCUGUCCCAAAACAACAACCUGGGAAGUCAUAGCAGUGGCUGGUGUGUAGUCUCUAAGAGAGGAGGGUUCCACCAACUCACCGCACAGCGUGGACAUCAGGCUUGGGAAAGCUCCCACUGCAAGAACACCGGCAAGGUCAGGCACAGGAUCUGCUUCAACCAGGGACUAGUGGAGCAUCUCUGGGCACAAUGAGACCAAAGGCUCUGAUGGCCCCAGUGCAGCUGGGCUGGGACCUGCUGUACCUAAACUCGUGAUGCGGGCUGGCACAAGUCCCAGCAGGAGAGGCAGCCAGCAGCAGCAAGCUGACAUGGGCUCU
RNAcentral lists this long non-coding RNA (336 nucleotides) under Cricetulus griseus (Chinese hamster). RNAcentral's name for it is "lncRNA (ENSCGRG00015040604.1)". Lineage: Eukaryota; Metazoa; Chordata; Mammalia; Rodentia; Cricetidae. The record is from RNAcentral.